CCUACGGGGGGCAGCAGUGAGGAAUAUUGGUCAAUGGACGAGAGUCUGAACCAGCCAAGUAGCGUGAAGGAUGACUGCCCUAUGGGUUGUAAACUUCUUUUAUAUGGGAAUAAAAUGUUCCACGUGUGGGAUUUUGUAUGUACCAUAUGAAUAAGGAUCGGCUAACUCCGUGCCAGCAGCCGCGGUAAUACGGAGGAUCCGAGCGUUAUCCGGAUUUAUUGGGUUUAAAGGGAGCGUAGGUGGAUUGUUAAGUCAGUUGUGAAAGUUUGCGGCUCAACCGUAAAAUUGCAGUUGAAACUGGCAGUCUUGAGUACGGUAGAGGUGGGCGGAAUUCGUGGUGUAGCGGUGAAAUGCUUAGAUAUCACGAAGAACUCCGAUUGCGAAGGCAGUUCACUGGACUGCAACUGACACUGAGGCUCGAAAGUGUGGGUAUCAAACAGGAUUAGAUACCCGUGUAGUC
RNAcentral lists this ribosomal RNA (460 nucleotides) under uncultured bacterium. Its description in RNAcentral is "partial 16S ribosomal RNA". It matches the Rfam family "Bacterial small subunit ribosomal RNA", at positions 338 to 795 of the family's 1533-position model. The record is from RNAcentral.